Molecule: RNA transcript, 974 nt
Organism: Odobenus rosmarus divergens (Pacific walrus)
Lineage: Eukaryota; Metazoa; Chordata; Mammalia; Carnivora; Odobenidae
Gene name: polyadenylate-binding protein 1-like
Exons: 2
Source: RefSeq, a predicted model, not a curated record
AUGACAUACCAGAGGUGGAAAAAUUUACCAUGGGACUUAUCAGGACUAAGCCAAGAACCUGGAAAAGCAGAGAACUCCUGGAGUGAAGAGAGUAGGGAAGUCUUAAAAGAAAUACACCUGCUGUUCACACCGUUCCACAGUAUAAGUACGCUGCGGGAGUUCACGAUCCUCAACAGCAUCUUAAUACACAGCCACAAGUUACCAUGCAGCAGCCUGCUCUUCAUGUACAAGGUCAGGAGCCUUUGACUGCUUCCAUGUUGGCAUCUGUCCCUUCUCAAGAGCAAAAGCGAAUGUUGGGUGAACAGCUCUUUCCUCUAAUUCAAGCCAUGCACCCUACUCUUGCUGGUAAAAUCACUGGCAUGUUGUUGGAGAUUGAUAAUUCAGAACUUCUUCAUAUGCUUGAGUCUCCAGAGUCUCCGUUCUAAAGUUGAUGAAGCUGUAGCUGUACUACAAGCCCACCAAGCUAAAGAGGCUGCCCAGAAAGCAGUUAACAGUGCCACUGGUGUUCCAACUGUUUAAAAUUGAUCAGUGACUAUGAAAAGAAACUCGUGCUUCACCGAAGAAAAAUAUCUAAACAUCAAAAAACUUAAACAUUAUGGAAAAAAAAUAACAUUGCAAAAUAUAAAAUAAAUUAAAAAAAGGAAAGGAAACUUUGAACCUUAUGUACUGAGAAAAUGCCAGGUCUAGCAAACAUAAUGCUAGUCCUAGAUUACAUAUUGAUUUAAAAACAACAACAAAAAAACCCCACAAAAAAUAGUAAAAUAUAAAAACAAAUUAAUGUUUUAUAGACCCUGGGAAAAAGAAUUUUCAGCAAAGUACAAAAAUUUAAAGCAUUCCUUUCUUUAAUUUUGUAAUUCUUUACUGGGGAAUAGCUCAGAAUGUCACUUCUGUUUUAAAUAACAGAAUUGAUAACUGAGCAAGGUAACGUAAUUUGGAUUAUAAAAUUCUUGCUUUAAAAAAAAUUCCCUAAACAG